This 611-nucleotide long non-coding RNA is filed under the name Junco hyemalis (dark-eyed junco). RNAcentral's name for it is "lncRNA (ENSJHYG00000016583.1)". The record is from RNAcentral. Lineage: Eukaryota; Metazoa; Chordata; Aves; Passeriformes; Passerellidae.
UGCACUUUGAAAGGAGAGAAGGAACAAGUGUGGGCUGUGUAGCUGGAAAUACAGUCUAAAAGACAGACACUGCUGCCAUUUCUGCCAUACACAGUGGGAAGCAUAGAGCUGGGCAGUGGUUCGUGAAGAAAGAAGCACAAGGAGAGCAGCUGGUGAGCAGUGUGAGAGUUAAAGGCCCAGGCAGGGGUCAAGGGGCACAAAAGGGAAAAUAAAGCACCACGCCCUGAACUGCAUCCAUUUCUACAAGAAGAGAACAGGAGACAAGAGAAGGGACACAUGACUGCUGGGAUCCCUGUCAGUGUGUCCAUCUCUAAAGAGAUGAGUCAACAGGAACAACUGCUCCAGUGACUUCUUGGAGGUACCACCACCAAAGGUUUUCAAGAUGAAGCUGGACAAGGUGCUACAUAACCUUAUCUAGGCUUCCUUUCCUACAAGAAGUGGAACCAGGUGAUCUUUUGAGGUCCCUCACAAGCUGGGCUGUUGUAUGAUUCUAUGAACCCUCUCGUUUCUGCUCAGGAAAUGAGUCCCUAACACAAGUCAUUACUUAGGCACGCCCCAGGAACACAUCCCUAUUAAUUAGCUUAAGCUGUUUGCUGCCUGUAAUGAAUCUC